AGGACGAACGCUGGCGGCGUGCUUAACACAUGCAAGUCGAACGAGGUGCUUGCACCUAGUGGCGAACGGGUGAGUAACACGUGAGCAACCUGCCCUUGGCUCUGGGAUAGCCUCCGGAAACGGGGAUUAAUACCGGACAUGACCUUCUUCCGCAUGGUGGAGGGUGGAAAGUUUUUCGGCCAGGGAGGGGCUCGCGGCCUAUCAGCUUGUUGGAGGGGUAACGGCCCACCAAGGCGACGACGGGUAGCCGGCCUGAGAGGGCGACCGGCCACACUGGGACUGAGACACGGCCCAGACUCCUACGGGAGGCAGCAGUGGGGAAUAUGCACAAUGGGGGAAACCCUGAUGCAGCGACGCCGCGUGCGGGAUGAAGGCCUUCGGGUUGUAAACCGCUUUCACCAGGGACGAAGCGAGAGUGACGGUACCGUGGGGAAGAAGCGCCGGCUAACUACGUGCCAGCAGCCGC
This 466-nucleotide ribosomal RNA is filed under the name uncultured bacterium. RNAcentral's name for it is "SSU rRNA". It matches the Rfam family "Bacterial small subunit ribosomal RNA", at positions 26 to 518 of the family's 1533-position model. The record is from RNAcentral.